GGUCUGAGAGGAUGAUCCGCCACACUGGGACUGAGACACGGCCCAGACUCCUACGGGAGGCAGCAGUGGGGAAUAUUGGACAAUGGGCGAAAGCCUGAUCCAGCCAUGCCGCGUGUGUGAAGAAGGCCUUUUGGUUGUAAAGCACUUUAAGCGAGGAGGAGGCUACUGAGAUUAAUACUCUAGGAUAGUGGACGUUACUCGCAGAAUAAGCACCGGCUAACUCUGUGCCAGCAGCCGCGGUAAUACAGAGGGUGCGAGCGUUAAUCGGAUUUACUGGGCGUAAAGCGUGCGUAGGCGGCUUUUUAAGUCGGAUGUGAAAUCCCUGAGCUUAACUUAGGAAUUGCAUUCGAUACUGGGAAGCUAGAGUAUGGGAGAGGAUGGUAGAAUUCCAGGUGUAGCGGUGAAAUGCGUAGAGAUCUGGAGGAAUACCGAUGGCGAAGGCAGCCAUCUGGCCUAAUACUGACGCUGAGGUACGAAAGCAUGGGGAGCAAACAGGAUUAGAUACCCUGGUAGUCCAUGCCGUAAACGAUGUCUACUAG
RNAcentral lists this ribosomal RNA (539 nucleotides) under Acinetobacter sp. JA10-2. Its description in RNAcentral is "bacterial SSU rRNA". It matches the Rfam family "Bacterial small subunit ribosomal RNA", at positions 289 to 819 of the family's 1533-position model. Lineage: Bacteria; Pseudomonadati; Pseudomonadota; Gammaproteobacteria; Moraxellales; Moraxellaceae. The record is from RNAcentral.